Molecule: long non-coding RNA, 354 nt
Organism: Homo sapiens (human)
Lineage: Eukaryota; Metazoa; Chordata; Mammalia; Primates; Hominidae
Exons: 3
Source: RefSeq, a predicted model, not a curated record
UACAGAGACAGUUGUAGUACAGUAAUUCAAAAUAUAGCAUCUGGACCAGGCAAGAUGGCUCAUGCCUGUAAUCCCAGCAUCUUGGGAGGCCAAGGUGGGAAGAUCACUUGAAACCAGAAGCUCAAGACCAGCCUGGGUAAAAUGAGGGCAAGCACUGAGGAUCUGGAUAAGAGAAGAAUUGGUAGGAAAACUCUUCGGUGUGCCCAAGCAUCUCCAAAAUGUUUUUUCAAAAGACAGGUGGACUUUAGCCCCUAAGAAGAAUCUGAUGCAGUCAAUCUGGUAACAACCCUACAGUGUCAGCUGCUAAAUUUAAGCCACUUGAGAUGUCUCACUUAGCAGGCAAGAACGAAUUGA